RNAcentral lists this ribosomal RNA (503 nucleotides) under uncultured Scutellospora. Its description in RNAcentral is "SSU rRNA". It matches the Rfam family "Eukaryotic small subunit ribosomal RNA", at positions 569 to 1078 of the family's 1831-position model. Lineage: Eukaryota; Fungi; Glomeromycota; Glomeromycetes; Diversisporales; Gigasporaceae. The record is from RNAcentral.
AGCAGCCGCGGUAAUUCCAGCUCCAAUAGCGUAUAUUAAAGUUGUUGCAGUUAAAAAGCUCGUAGUUGAAUUUCGGGGUUCUACCGUUGGUCGGGCUUUGUCUGUACUAGCGUGUAGAAUUUCUACCUUCUGGGGAACCAUUAUGUUAUUAAUUUAGCGUGGUGGGAAACCAGGACCUUUACCUUGAAAAAAUUAGAGUGUUCAAAGCAGGCUUAUGUCUGAAUACAUUAGCAUGGAAUAAUAGAAUAGGACGGUGGUCCCGUUUUGUUGGUUUCUGAAUCACCGUAAUGAUUAAUAGGGAUAGUUGGGGGCAUUAGUAUUCAAUUGUCAGAGGUGAAAUUCUUGGAUUUAUUGAAGACUAACUUCUGCGAAAGCAUUUGCCAAGGAUGUUUUCAUUAAUCAAGAACGAAAGUUAGGGGAUCGAAGACGAUCAGAUACCGUCGUAGUCUUAACCAUAAACUAUGCCGACUAGGGAUCGGACGAUGUUAACUUUUCUUGACUCG